RNAcentral lists this ribosomal RNA (454 nucleotides) under uncultured Parabacteroides sp. RNAcentral describes it as "partial 16S ribosomal RNA". It matches the Rfam family "Bacterial small subunit ribosomal RNA", at positions 341 to 792 of the family's 1533-position model. The record is from RNAcentral. Lineage: Bacteria; Pseudomonadati; Bacteroidota; Bacteroidia; Bacteroidales; Tannerellaceae.
ACGGAAGGCAGCAGUGAGGAAUAUUGGUCAAUGGGCGGAAGCCUGAACCAGCCAUCUCGCGUGCAGGACUACGGCCCUACGGGUCUUAAACUGCUUUUAUGGGGGGAUAAAGUCGGGCAUUCGUGUCCGUUUGCUGGUACCCCAUGAAUAAGGAUCGGCUAACUCCGUGCCAGCAGCCGCGGUAAUACGGAGGAUCCGAGCGUUAUCCGGAUUUAUUGGGUUUAAAGGGUGCGCAGGCGGCCCGUUAAGUCAGCGGUGAAAUGUCGGGGCUCAACCCGGGCACUGCCGUUGAAACUGGGGGGCUUGAGUACGGAUGAGGUCGGCGGAAUGUGACGUGUAGCGGUGAAAUGCAUAGAUAUGUCACAGAACACCGAUUGCGAAGGCAGCCGGCCAAUCCGCAACUGACGCUCAUGCACGAAAGCGUGGGGAUCGAACAGGAUUAGAUACCCUGGUA